This 72-nucleotide transfer RNA is filed under the name Camelus bactrianus (Bactrian camel). It matches the Rfam family "tRNA". Rfam says of the family: Transfer RNA (tRNA) molecules are approximately 80 nucleotides in length. Lineage: Eukaryota; Metazoa; Chordata; Mammalia; Artiodactyla; Camelidae. The record is from Rfam by way of RNAcentral. RNAcentral also lists the same sequence under 2 other names.
GUGGGUAUAGCUCAGUGGCAGAGCACGUGCUUAGCAUGCACGAGGUCCUAGGUUCAAUCCCCAGUACCUCCA